This 150-nucleotide ribosomal RNA is filed under the name uncultured bacterium. Its description in RNAcentral is "partial 16S ribosomal RNA". It matches the Rfam family "Bacterial small subunit ribosomal RNA", at positions 383 to 524 of the family's 1533-position model. The record is from RNAcentral.
CUGAUGCAGCCAUGCCGCGUGUAGUGAAGAAGGCCUUCGGGUUGUAAAGCUCUUUCAGUUGUGAAGAAGGGGGKUDCGUUAAUAGCGUUAUCUCUUGACGUUAGCAACACAAGAAGCACCGGSUAACUCCRUGCCAGCAGCCGCGGUAAU